This 960-nucleotide ribosomal RNA is filed under the name Triticum aestivum (bread wheat). RNAcentral describes it as "partial small subunit ribosomal RNA". The record is from RNAcentral. Lineage: Eukaryota; Viridiplantae; Streptophyta; Magnoliopsida; Poales; Poaceae.
AUGAUGGCGGCAACGAACGGGCUAUUCCAUGCUUCUGCCCACAAGCCCCUGUUUACCUUUGGUGUCAUUGCAGAUGUCCAGUACGCCGACAUCCCGGACGGGCACUCUUUCGCUGGCAUCCCGCGCUACUACCGUCACAGCAUCGACGUCCUCCAGAGCGCUGUGAGUGCGUGGAACAAGCAAGGUGGUGUCGAGUUCUCCAUCAACUUCGGUGACAUCGUCGACGGGAAAUGCCCAAAGGACAAGUCGUUGUGGGCGGUGCAGAAGGUCCUCGGCGAGUUUGAGAAGUUCGAAGGCCCGACCUACCACAUGUUUGGCAACCAUUGCCUCUACAAUCUUCCUCGGAGCGAGCUAGUGGCUUUGAUGAAGAUGCCAACGGGUUCUGACCGUGCUUACUAUGACUUCUCGCCGUGUCAUGAGUACAGAUUUGUUGUUCUGGAUGCUUAUGACUUCAGCACGCUUGGCUGGCCUCGUGAUCAUCCAGUGACUGCAGCAGCAAUGAGGCUCCUUGAAGAAAAGAACCCAAACACCGACAAGAACAGCCCCGAGGGUCUGGUGGGCGUCGACCAGCGGUUCGUGAUGUUCAAUGGCGCGGUUGGAAAGGAGCAGCUGUCCUGGCUCAGUGAUGUCCUACGGGAUGCAUCGGAGCGUCGGCAGAAUGUGGUCUUGUGCAGUCACCUCCCAUUGGAUCCUGUAGCAGCGUCCCCGGUAUGCCUCAUGUGGAAUUAUGAUGAGGUGAUGGCUGUUGUUCGACAGUACAACUGUGUUAAGGCCUGCUUCGCCGGGCACGACCACAAAGGUGGCUACUCUGUGGACUCCCACGGCGUGCACCAUCGCACCCUUGAGGCGGCGCUGGAGUGUCCUCCCGGCACCAGUGCGUUUGGGCACAUCGAAGCAUAUCCUGACAAGCUAUUGCUUGUAGGCUCUGAUGGAAUGGCGGACACUGAAAUGUGUUUUUGA